AAAAUAUAUAAAACUAAAUGAGUUAAAAAAAUUUUUUUAGUAAUAAUCGAGUUUGAGAUAGUUUUAGAUAAUUGAUAAUAAAUUUUAAUCGAAUUUGGGAUGGGUUCAAAUAUUGAAAAUACUAAUCGAGUUCGAAUUCAGAUAAAGUGAUUUUUAUAACUACCCUACUUGUUACCAUUUCUUCAUUUCUAAUCUGUAAAAUAUCGUAUUUAAAUUUCAGUCAUAAUUACUUAUUAAAAAAAAUUAAAUUCAAUUUAAAUGGGAAGACCAUAUAGUAACAUAAAUAAACUUUAAAACCUAAAUUAUUACAUUUUCAAAUAACAAGGAUGAACCUAUAAUUUACCCUAUAUUAUAUUUACUUGAAUCAAAAUAUUUAAUUGAAUAAGCUGUUUGCCUUUGUGAUGAUAUAGUGGGUAAGCUUCCAAAGAAUCAAGUGAGUCCUGCCCAGGUGGAGACUUACAUGGCCCAAGAAAGUGGCAAGAGAAGAGAACUCCUUCAAAAGUUCAUCCAUAUGUGUGCUUCAUCUAAG
Molecule: unclassified non-coding RNA, 529 nt
Filed under: Hevea brasiliensis (rubber tree)
Lineage: Eukaryota; Viridiplantae; Streptophyta; Magnoliopsida; Malpighiales; Euphorbiaceae
Source: RNAcentral